CUACGGGGCGCUGCAGGCGCGAAACCUUCACAAUGCACGAAAGUGUGAUGAGGUCAGCCAGAGUGCUAAUGUUUUACAUUGGCUUUUGCCAAGAGCAAAUAUCUUGGCGAAUAAGUGGUGGGUAAGACUGGUGCCAGCCGCCGCGGUAACACCAGCGCCACAAGUGGGAACCGCAAUUAUUGGGUCUAAAGCAUCCGUAGCCGGUUUGAUAAAUCUUUUGUGAAAUUGUUGGACUCAAUCUAACAACGUGCAGGAGAGACUGUCAAACUUGGAACUGGGAGGAGUCAGAGGUAUUUUUGGGGGAGCGGUAAAAUGCUAUAAUCCCAAAAGGACCGCCAGUGGCGAAGGCGUCUGACUAGAACAGUUUCGACGGUGAGGGAUGAAAGCCAGGGGAGCAAAACGGAUUAGAUACCCCCGUAGUC
This 422-nucleotide ribosomal RNA is filed under the name uncultured archaeon. RNAcentral's name for it is "partial 16S ribosomal RNA". It matches the Rfam family "Archaeal small subunit ribosomal RNA", at positions 323 to 746 of the family's 1478-position model. The record is from RNAcentral.